RNAcentral lists this ribosomal RNA (243 nucleotides) under uncultured bacterium. RNAcentral describes it as "partial 16S ribosomal RNA". It matches the Rfam family "Bacterial small subunit ribosomal RNA", at positions 529 to 772 of the family's 1533-position model. The record is from RNAcentral.
AGGUCCCGAGCGUUGUCCGGAUUUAUUGGGCGUAAAGCGAGCGCAGGUGGUUUAAUAAGUCUGAUGUAAAAGGCAGUGGCUCAACCAUUGUGUGCAUUGGAAACUGUUAGACUUGAGUGCAGUAGAGGAGAGUGGAAUUCCAUGUGUAGCGGUGAAAUGCGGAGAUAUAUGGAGGAACACCGGUGGCGAAAGCGGCUCUCUGGACUGUCACUGACACUGAGGCUCGAAAGCGUGGGUAGCAAA